This is a non-coding RNA of Caenorhabditis elegans, 148 nucleotides long. The record is from Ensembl. NCBI's taxonomy places the organism in Eukaryota, Metazoa, Nematoda, Chromadorea, Rhabditida, Rhabditidae.
AACCUCUUAACGCUUUUCCUCCCAGAUGCCGAGUUGUACACCAAGUUGUUUAAUGAUCAUUAGUGUUUCGUUCAAGAGCUGCCGCCGCUGAGGCUGUUUGAGGGCAAUUGAAAGGCGCGUUAGUGGGAAAGUUUCACAUUGCAUUUAU